UACGAAGGGUGCAAGCGUUACUCGGAAUUACUGAGCGUAAAGCGUGCGUAGGUGGUUCGUUAAGUCUGAUGUGAAAGCCCUGGGCUCAACCUGGGAAUUGCAUUGGAUACUGGCAGGCUAGAGUGCGGUAAAGGAUGGCGGAAUUCCCGGUGUAGCAGUGAAAUGCGUAGAGAUCGGGAGGAACAUCUGUGGCGAAAGCAGCCAUCUGGACCAGCACUGACACUGAGGCACGAAAGCGUGGGAAGCAAACAGG
RNAcentral lists this ribosomal RNA (253 nucleotides) under uncultured bacterium. RNAcentral's name for it is "partial 16S ribosomal RNA". It matches the Rfam family "Bacterial small subunit ribosomal RNA", at positions 524 to 776 of the family's 1533-position model. The record is from RNAcentral.